Long non-coding RNA from Hordeum vulgare subsp. vulgare (domesticated barley), 3466 nucleotides. RefSeq lists it as uncharacterized. Lineage: Eukaryota; Viridiplantae; Streptophyta; Magnoliopsida; Poales; Poaceae. The record is from RefSeq and is a predicted model, not a curated record. The transcript is spliced from 10 exons.
AGAGAAAGCCAGACAGAGCAGCAUCCGCCGUAGAUCCAUCCCUCACCACUAGGACCCAUACCGGUGCAGCAACCGCAGCUCCCUCCCCAUCACCUCCCCUUCCUGCCCUCCUUCAUCUCAGCUCGGCCAUGAGGACCUGCAACCACAAACCCUAGGCCAGGUUCUUUGCCUCGGUCAGCCUUGACGGAUGUGGCUGCGCUUUGGUGGAUGAUGUGAGUGCUCCGGUGCCCUGUCCACGACCAUCAGCGCUCCCUCCCCGAACCCCUCUCAAGCCUAGACCAAGCUUCACCGGCGUUUGAUGGCACGAAGUACAUGCUUGGAAGACAAGUUGUUGUACCUCUCCAUUGGACAUGACGAGUAUGGUGGAGGAGGUGUGACGAGGAGAUUGAGAGCGAUGAUUCUAUGGUUCUGCUUUGUGGGUUGUAGGUCAAUGAUUUUUUUUGUUUGUUUGUACACACUAAUUUAUCUGUUAGUGAGAAAACGUUCAUAUACAGUGAAAGAGAAUAAGAAGUACAACUUGGUCAGAUCUCCAGAAAUGAGUGAAUGGCUGGCUUGGUGAUUUCUAUUAGUAGCCCCCUUUUGCUGUCAGUUUGAUUAUUACUAUCUUAUUAUGUCAACUGUUACUAUCAUAUUAUGUAUUGAUGCGAGAUACUAUGAUACUAACAAAGAAUCAGUGAUAUCGCAAUUAGUUCUAUGUGAAAAAAAGACAUAUGGGGCACAUGGAUACUGGUUGCAUUGUUUCCCCCUUCUGUCAGGACAUACCUUUGGAUUCCUCCAAGUACAAAGAUGAUUUUGUUCGUUCCGUCUUAGUAAUAAAAAUGAAAGGUUAACUCAGAGAGGAGUUGUAGAGAGAGAAAUUCAUGUACCAUUGUAUUAUCUGAAUAUUGCUAUGACUGAUAUGAUCCUUGAUUAAAUAACUUCUGAUUUUAUUAAACUAGCAACUUUGUAAUUUGCGUCGUGCUAACAUCUUAAAUUUGGUGAGGGCUUACCAUUAAUUGUAUAUUAAGAUGUCCAGCUGUUGAUAUUCAAAAAAUUUGCUCAUCCUUUCUUUUGUUAGUCUCGCCAUUGUGGUGUGAAUCUCAAAGAAGUGAAGGAAAGGUAUGGAACUGCAUCAUUUUGCUAACUUUGUUUUUUUUCACUAUUGAAUUGAGGCCCUUACUCUUAGAUACAUAUACUAAUUGUGGUUCAGUUCAAAUACUCGAUUCAAAUAUUCAAAUAUAUGUUCCUUUUAUUCAAUUCUUGCUCUUGUUUAGAAAGGCAAACACCUCCGACAAUGGCCGAAAGGCAAUUUAGCUCUCUUGCAGUACUUGUAUUAGGAGAAGGUGCAACCUCUAGAAGGUGAUUGCGCUUUCAAUCCCAACUUGUCCUUACAACCUCUGAUGAGGAAUUGGACCGAAGCUACAACCACUAGGAGAGAUCAGUUUGACUAUGACAACGGCCGUGGUCGUGGUAACGUCAUGAUCAAAGAUAAUAUAACCUAAGAAUAUAGGACGCAGGAGCCCAAAUUCCUAGAUCAUGGGACUACACACAAGCCAAAACCUAAGUCAGUGCCACCGCAAGGAAGUCGAAGCCAGCUCCUAACUCUGAUGAUAUUAUGGAGGUUUUGAUGAAGAGGUACAACCAGAUGAGGCAAAUCCCUAAUCUAGUUGCUAAGAAAUUGUUGGAGAAGUUGAACAAAGAAGGUGUCAUGUACAAGCCGGCAGCUGUCGUGCCAUCCUGUAAUAAUGAUGGUGAUGAUGAAGUUGCUUCGUUUGAGAAUGGUCCACAUGAAAAGAAGGAAUUCGUGUACAAGGAAGAUAAUGAGAGUGAAGAUGGUGAUGAACCGGUCAUUGGUUUGAUGCUUCUUAAGGAAGCGGUUCCCAACAAGAAAAAUGAAGCUAAGGAAAUCAAUGUUUGCAAGGGUGGUUCACCAACGAAGUCUAAUAAUGAGUGUGGUGCAACACCGGAAAAUCCUUGGAUCAUUGGUAAUUCUCCUCAAGCAGCUUCUUCGGACAUAGACAUUGUUCCAUCUUAUGUUAGCAAGUUCAUGGCUAAUGCCAAAAAACAAAAGUUGGCAACAAUCGUAAAAGAUGACGAAGUUAUAUCCGGAAAGAGGAAGCAUAUGUUUCCCGAGAAAUUUGUAUCCCCAUAUGCACUUGAUAAGGUGAGAAGGCGUCCCGCUCGCGAUACUAGACCUUAGGGAACUGCUACCGCAAGUAGAGCUCUAUUUUCUGAUAACGAAGCACCAGAGGUUGUGGCAGAUGAGUGGAUGUCGGAACUAAUUGAUGCAGCUAUUACAUUUGUGGAAAUAGCUUAUCGGUGCGAAAAGAAUAAGUUGGAGGUGUGAACCAACUAACUUCGGAGAGGCUUUGACCUUUACUUGACCAUAGAUGGGUGACGGAUGAUGUUAUUGAUUCUUAUCAGGUACAUUUGGUGAUGCGCAUUGGUCAUGACCAUCACCUCUGUCCAACGUGGAAGUCGAAAUUCCUUGUAGAUCGGGCUCUAGCACGAGACAAACCAUUGAUGUCAUGCCACAACAUGGAUAGUGAGUUGUCCAGAUCUGGAGCAGUUAGUAGAGUCAGGGAUGAGUAUACUCUGUGUGACAAGACGUAUGUGGCAUUGAAUAUCGGUAAUACCCACUUGAUGACUGUGGUAAUGCACAUGCGCAAGAAAGAAUUCCAAGUUCUGGAUUCGCUCUAUCCUCUCAAGCUGUGUAUCGACACCGUGAGAGCACUGGUACUCUCACCACCAUUGCUAGGCAGGAGCUAAAUUAGCUAUGUGGAGUGGGUUGACCCUGAGUGGCCUGCGCCUUUGAAGAUGAGUCUAGCUAGGAUUUGGGGCAUGUAUGAUGAGGAGAAUAGUCUGAGGCUAAGGCAAAAUGUGGAUAAUGCUAAAGACGUGGUGAAGAUCAAGGGAGAGAAGGAAAAAGUGGAGAAAGAUCUGAGGUUCUUCAAAGUUGAUUUUGCUAACAUGGUGUAUGAGAAGGAGCGGGCAUUGACCCAACUAGGCAACACUCACCUUGCUCAUCAAGACCUAAAAAGGGAGAUGAGAACAGGAGCUUUUCUGACAAAUCUACCACAAACAUCCAUCAUGUGGACAGAGCUAAGCCAGAGAAAGAGAGAGACGUGAUGAAGCAAGAGAGGGACACAUUCAUGGAAGAGAGGGAUCUGAUGAAGCUUGAGAGGGACAAAUUCAUGCUUGAGAGGGAUCACUUAAAGCAGGAGAAAAAUAAGUUGGAGUAUAUGAUUGGUGAUCUCUUCAAGCAUAAGGUGGAGACCAUGAGCAAGAUAAGGAAGAUCCAGGAAUUCCUGGAUAAAAUUGAGUGAUGAAGUAUUUCUAGCACUUUCUGCACUGAGGAAUUUGAAGUAAUGUUUUCAUGUCUCUUAGUUAACUGAAUUUCUCCAGUUUAUUCUGUUACUGAAUUUGUUAUAGUACUAAAAGUUUACUGAAUUUGUUUUAGCUAAAAAAGUAAACUGGGUUUGGUUCA